Non-coding RNA from Hordeum vulgare subsp. vulgare (domesticated barley), 136 nucleotides. The record is from Rfam. Lineage: Eukaryota; Viridiplantae; Streptophyta; Magnoliopsida; Poales; Poaceae.
UCAAUACUCCCUUCGUCCCAAAAUACUUGUCUUAGAUUUGUCUAGAUAUGAAUGUAUCNNGUCACGUUUUAGUAUUUAGAUACAUCUAUUUUUAGACAAACUUAAGACAAGAAAUGUGGGACGCGGGGAGUAUAAG